ACGGGACUGGACGACGGCCUGCAGGACGCGGGCUUCGGGCGUCCGCUCGGGACCAGACGGGCAGGACCGUUCGGAGUCGGUGUCGCGCC
This 89-nucleotide transfer RNA is filed under the name Mycolicibacterium helvum. RNAcentral's name for it is "tRNA-Pro". Lineage: Bacteria; Bacillati; Actinomycetota; Actinomycetes; Mycobacteriales; Mycobacteriaceae. The record is from RNAcentral.